AUGGUGUUUGAGAGUAGUCCUAGCUAUGCGGAGCUUUUGGAACAAGUGAGGAAAGAUUUGAAUUGGACGGACCCAAGUGACGUUGUUGAGUUCGAGGGAAGGCAUAAUGUUGGUUUUGGAAUGCACAUCCGUUGGAAGACAAUGCGUGUGAACUCCGAGCAACGUUGGGUUGCAUACAAGGAGACGGUUGCCGAAUCUCUAGACAAGGCUCUUGAGUUAUUUGUCUCCAAGAAGGUUGAGUCUACUUUGAAUUUAGACUUGAACCGGAACCCCUCCCCGUUGGUUGCUAGCACUCCCCCACCCAUGAACCAAGAUCAAAUGAGUGAACCUCAAUUCACGCAACAAGAUUGGCCAACAUUGAGCCCGACUCCAAACAACCAAAAUGAAGGUUUUGAAGAGGAGAAUGAUGAGUAUGGGGAGGAUGACAACGAAGUUGACCUCCAUGACAACAAUGUGGGUGAUCUCGACCAAUAUCAUGUGCAAGAGACAAUGGACCAAUCCAUCCCUUUUUCCCGUGCAUAUGCAUCGGACUCGGAUGACGAUGGUCCCGAUGAAGAAGUUGAUGAGGAGGGGUUCACGCCGAAGGAGGCCGAAGCAUUCAAGAAGGUAUUCGGGCGGGAUCACAAGACACCAUUGUUCAAGGAUCUUAGUCUCGCGGAUGAAGCCGUUGUGGAUGGUGGCAAAUGCAUAUCUCUUGGAGCUAGGCCAAGUUCUCACCGUGAUUUGGAAGACGGCAAGAACGGGAUAUAUCCCGGUUGUGAGUUUCAAUCCUUCUUGGAAUUGAAGAUGUGGCUCGACAACUACUCGGUUACACAUUAUCGUCCACAUAAAGUGGCCAACUCGGAUGUUAAUGUGCGUUACACGGUCAAAUGUGAAGUGCCAACAUGUCCAUGGAUUGUGCGUGCAAGGCCAUGGAAAGGAGGUCCC
RNAcentral lists this ribosomal RNA (927 nucleotides) under Triticum aestivum (bread wheat). RNAcentral's name for it is "partial small subunit ribosomal RNA". The record is from RNAcentral. Lineage: Eukaryota; Viridiplantae; Streptophyta; Magnoliopsida; Poales; Poaceae.